This 1281-nucleotide long non-coding RNA is filed under the name Struthio camelus australis. RNAcentral describes it as "lncRNA (ENSSCUG00000000619.1)". Lineage: Eukaryota; Metazoa; Chordata; Aves; Struthioniformes; Struthionidae. The record is from RNAcentral.
ACCGGGGCUCCAGAGCUGGACGGAAACCCUUGGAGCCGCCCAGCUGACGGGCCAGACCUCAGGAGAGGGCUACGGGCUCGGUCCAACCCUGGAGCCUUCCUUCUUAGUGUAAAAUAAACCCAAAGGGUGUGUUACAAAAGUAGAUGCUUUUCCUGUCCCCUUAGCAAUACAUCUAGGUCCUGCAGUGCCGCGACCGCAGCUCUCGGGGCUGCCAAUGGUAUCUGCCUUUCUCACUUCAUGUGGGUCAUAGAAUACUUCCCUUUUUCUUCUGCUUUUGCUACUGUUGCCCAGCAGCCUCACAACCAGGCACGUGGGGCAGGAUGACCAAAUGUUGAUCAGAUUUUUCUUUUUAAGCACCAUCUGGAAGUCACUGCGAAACGUGAUGAGCUCAGAGAGGUCCUGCGGAAGGGGCUGGAAACAAUGACACACCACGAGAUCCCCUUUUCCAAGGAAAUAAAUAGAUGCUGCUCUGCAGCUGGGGAAGGCACGGAGAGGAGGAGGUUCAUGCUGGGUCAAGCACAGACAGGCUGGGUGAAAACCUGCAGCAACAGCCCCACAGCAGUUUUAUUUCGCCGUGGCCGCGCUUAGGCACAGAUGUCCUCCUCGGGAAUAGCAAGGGCCCUCUCCUCACCCCCAUGCUGCUCCAUCCUUUGCUGCUAGAUCGCUACAAAUUUGUAAGGUAGGAGUGAAUCGCUGUUAUUACUUCUUUGUCUUUCAUUAUUUUAUACUUUCCUGAAAAACAAAAUAUUACAGAGAUUUAUAGAAUUAAGGGGGAGGAGGGAGAAAGCCAUGAGAGCUCAUCUGGUUUCAAUCAGCUCAGCUCCCUGGAAAUCAGUUUACCCCAGCUGAGAGUCUAAGCGCUGCUGUUUCUACCCCCAGAUGACAAAGUUGUUCCAAGUGUUUAAUGCAAAAACGUGCGACAAUGAAACGGGGGAUCUGGUGAGCACGUUGGACAAGGACUAGAAGUGGAAAUCAGGACACGUCGAGCUCCUUUUACUAGAACUGACUGAAACCAAAAAGCAAAGCAUGGCACUUUGAAGUGCUUGCAUCUUGCUCCCAUCAUUGGGGCAGGGGGAGGACAGAGUAGUUCAUUCUAAUUUCUAAUGAAAUAGUAUAAUCUGAUCCUGUUUUAUUUUCUGUCCCUGUGCCCUGUCUUACAGCUGUGGAGCCACGGACUGCAAGGAAGCUCCUCUUGUUUUACAUCACGUGAGGAGUGAGAAUUUGGCCUUUUAUGAUCAGGGGCACAAUAAAACCUGAUUGCUGGGACGUGGGGGUUUCUGA